UUGUGACUAUGACCGGUUAUGGUGAUGGUGAUCACCUCUCCUGGUUGGCCAUCUCCUCUAUACUAGAAAUAGUUCAUGGUUCUUCACAAACUCAAGGUUUUACUACGUUGAAAAUGUUCACAACUAUUUCUUGGCAGUGUUGGAUCAAGUUCUUGUGGCUACAACAAUGGACGAGAAGAUUUUGUAGACUUUCUAAGAUAAAGGGAGGAUCUUUGUCCGAAUCUUCAAGUAUAUCGAUUUCAAGAAGGCGACAAGAUUUAGAAUCAUCUCCAACGACACUAGAAUUUUAUUUCCUAAUUAAUGUAAUGCCAAUGGCAUUUUGG
This 323-nucleotide long non-coding RNA is filed under the name Capsella grandiflora. RNAcentral's name for it is "long non-coding RNA (CGRA_LNC000506)". The record is from RNAcentral. Lineage: Eukaryota; Viridiplantae; Streptophyta; Magnoliopsida; Brassicales; Brassicaceae.